UGCAGGAAGGGGAAAGUUUUGUCUCUACUUGUUUGCUCCCCCUUCCUAGAUAAAGAAGGUCUCUCCAGACUUCAGGCAGUUGCUGGGGAAUGGACACAUUAGGAUGAGAGUAAUGCCUUCAAAGUGAGAAGAGAAGGACUGCAGGUUGUCCAAACUUCUCCAAGAGCUAAGUUGGCAUAGGAGACAUGGUGUUUGUGAGGGGAAUGGAAAUGAUGAAAAGAAAAAACGGCCAAGUCAGUUCCAGCUGUCAGAGUUCUGUUCCUACUCCUCAUACGUGUCAUAAGCAAAAUUCUUGCAUGGAUGAGAUGGAAAUCCCCCAAGAGCCCCAUUCUUCUGUGUGUGCCAGAGAAGAGGAGGACAUGAGAAUUGACUCAAAGGACAUUCCAGAUUAAAUAAAUGAAGCCAUGAGAA
This is a long non-coding RNA of Gallus gallus (chicken), 411 nucleotides long. RefSeq lists it as uncharacterized. Lineage: Eukaryota; Metazoa; Chordata; Aves; Galliformes; Phasianidae. The record is from RefSeq and is a predicted model, not a curated record. The transcript is spliced from 3 exons.